AUCAAAUAAGCGGAGGAAAAGAAACCAACAGGGAUUGCCUCAGUAGCGGCGAGUGAAGCGGCAAGAGCUCAGAUUUGAAAUCGUGCUUUGCGGCACGAGUUGUAGAUUGCAGGUUGGAGUCUGUGUGGAAGGCGGUGUCCAAGUCCCUUGGAACAGGGCGCCCAGGAGGGUGAGAGCCCCGUGGGAUGCCGGCGGAAGCAGUGAGGCCCUUCUGACGAGUCGAGUUGUUUGGGAAUGCAGCUCCAAGCGGGUGGUAAAUUCCAUCUAAGGCUAAAUACUGGCGAGAGACCGAUAGCGAACAAGUACUGUGAAGGAAAGAUGAAAAGCACUUUGAAAAGAGAGUGAAACAGCACGUGAAAUUGUUGAAAGGGAAGGGUAUUGCGCCCGACAUGGGGAUUGCGCACCGCUGCCUCUCGUGGGCGGCGCUCUGGGCUUUCCCUGGGCCAGCAUCGGUUCUUGCUGCAGGAGAAGGGGUUCUGGAACGUGGCUCUUCGGAGUGUUAUAGCCAGGGCCAGAUGCUGCGUGCGGGGACCGAGGACUGCGGCCGUGUAGGUCACGGAUGCUGGCAGAACGGCGCAACACCGCCCGUCUUGAAACAACGG
This 602-nucleotide ribosomal RNA is filed under the name Pichia kudriavzevii. RNAcentral's name for it is "eukaryotic LSU rRNA". It matches the Rfam family "Eukaryotic large subunit ribosomal RNA", at positions 42 to 664 of the family's 3401-position model. The record is from RNAcentral. Lineage: Eukaryota; Fungi; Ascomycota; Pichiomycetes; Pichiales; Pichiaceae.